CAUAACAUGCGCAGAUAUCAACAAUCAUCUAGGUAUAAUAAACAUACAACAUAAUAGAACAGAAAAACAAAAAGAACGAACUCUUGAAGCGAAGGCGAAGAUGUCUCGAAGAACCUCGGGAGUCCGGUGAAAGCUUUGGCGGAGGUAGCGGCUUCAGGUAUUUAUCUCUUCUUUGUUUUUGCGUCUGUUCUUCUCCUUGCCUUAAUCUCUGUUCCUUCUUCUUGUUCGAUUUUCUUUCGUUUUGUUAGGGUUGCUAUUAAGGUGGUGGUUUCGUACAGAUGGUGGUUUUUAGCUCAAACUUGUUGAGAUUCAAUGUGAAAUCUCAACAAGCUUAGAAAUUUAGAGCUCUAAUUAAGUGUUUUGGACUCUUUUCUGCAGAGUAGCGGUAUCCUCUAGGGGUCCUCUCUUCCAAUGAUUGGAUGUCUCUUAUAUAGAGUGAAAAUGGGUAGUCCUUGAAUCAUGAGCUGGCAGAGGUGAAAGGAAUCAUUCUGUUAGAAUUGGAUUUCUCAGAG
This 512-nucleotide long non-coding RNA is filed under the name Lathyrus oleraceus (garden pea). RNAcentral describes it as "Pisum sativum (pea) long non-coding RNA (PSAT_LNC001616)". The record is from RNAcentral. Lineage: Eukaryota; Viridiplantae; Streptophyta; Magnoliopsida; Fabales; Fabaceae.